This 62-nucleotide ribosomal RNA is filed under the name Lactarius haugiae. RNAcentral's name for it is "partial 28S ribosomal RNA". The record is from RNAcentral. Lineage: Eukaryota; Fungi; Basidiomycota; Agaricomycetes; Russulales; Russulaceae.
ACGUUUGAGCGUGUCUCCCUUCUCGGGAAACCCUCUCAACCUCACGAACCCUUGACCUCAAA